ACGAAGGGUGCAAGCGUUAUUCGGAAUUAUUGGGCGUAAAGGGCGCGUAGGCGGCUUUGUAAGUUUGCGGUGAAAGCCCGAGGCUCAACCUCGGGUCGGCCGUGCGAACUGGGUCACAUGAGCAGAAUAGAGGCAGGUGGAAUUCCGGGUGUAGCGGUGGAAUGCGUAGAGAUCCGGAAGAACACCGGUGGCGAAGGCGGCCUGCUGGGUUCUGGCUGACACUGAGGCGCGACAGCGUGGGGAGCAAACAGGA
RNAcentral lists this ribosomal RNA (253 nucleotides) under uncultured prokaryote. Its description in RNAcentral is "partial 16S ribosomal RNA". It matches the Rfam family "Bacterial small subunit ribosomal RNA", at positions 525 to 777 of the family's 1533-position model. The record is from RNAcentral.